UUAAUUUUACAAACAGUUCCAAAAUGUCAAAGAGUGAGAAAUGAAGCAUUAUAAUCAAAAUGUUUUUCAAUAUGUUAAAUCAUACAAAUUUGCAGUGAUUAAGAUUGUUUUUGGGAUUAUACAUUUUCGCAUAACAUUCAGAAACAGGUGAUGCUCGAACAGCAGACCAGACAAAUCUCAAAUAGAGAUAAGACUAGUGCUACGCCCUCUUCGGAUUCAUGAUAAUGAAGCAUAUGUAGGUAAGUACAGUUGGGCGCUAAAAAACAUCCCAUCGAUUUGUCGCCUUGACUGGACUUAAAAUGCUUAUGUAAAAUUAGGCUAAAAGAAGGGCGGCCAAAAGGGACAGCUACUAACUCAGAGUGCAGUGCCAGCGCAUCAAGGACGUCAGACACAGCAGCCAGGCGGCAAAUGUAGCUGCAAAUGAAAAAAUAAAUUUAUUUAUUUAUUUCACAUAAAAAUAUUCGACUUAAAGAGUGUCAAUGGAAGUAAAUAAUAUAUUAAAUACGAACAUAUAAAUAAAAAAAUUCGUGUAUGGAUUCAGAAUAUUUAGAAUUAUUCUGAAAUGAAGUACGAAUUAUACUUGAUUCCUGACUCGCGCCCAAUAUCUUACGAAAAAUGUUUGAUAUUUUUCUCUUCGUUCAAUUCAACAAUGAAAAGCUAAAAGCAUGAGGAAACCAACAUUUCGAUAAUAAUAUGAUAAUAAAU
Drosophila montana is the source of this 705-nucleotide long non-coding RNA. RefSeq lists it as uncharacterized. The record is from RefSeq and is a predicted model, not a curated record. NCBI's taxonomy places the organism in Eukaryota, Metazoa, Arthropoda, Insecta, Diptera, Drosophilidae. The transcript is spliced from 3 exons.